CUACAAGAAUUAGAUAAUCAAUUCAUGGAAUUUAUUGUAGACAAAUAUUCAAGAAGAGAUUCGAGAAGAGAGAGCAUAAUAUAUAUCAACGUAAUUAAUUUUAAACAUUGGCACACAACAGAUUUUAUUUAUUUAUUUUAUUUUUAGGAAAACGAGGUACAUGUAAAUAAACAAAUAAAAUCUCUUGAAUAUCCCAAGAGAUUUUAUAACAGUACCCAUCAUUUUAUUUAUUUAAACAUAAUAUAAAAAAAGUGACACUUCAUGCACUUAACCAGUGUGGUUGGAAUUUCUUCCAUAUUGAGGAGGAAUAAGAAGAUCAAGACUUUCAUUCACAAUCUCAUCAUCAACGAUACUGCCACAGGGUGGAAAUUGGAGACCCUCCAACCAAUCAUUCUUAC
RNAcentral lists this long non-coding RNA (398 nucleotides) under Citrus maxima (pomelo). Its description in RNAcentral is "long non-coding RNA (CMAX_LNC003343)". The record is from RNAcentral. Lineage: Eukaryota; Viridiplantae; Streptophyta; Magnoliopsida; Sapindales; Rutaceae.